Podarcis lilfordi (Lilford's wall lizard) is the source of this 4686-nucleotide non-coding RNA. The record is from the annotation of a GenBank genome assembly. Lineage: Eukaryota; Metazoa; Chordata; Lepidosauria; Squamata; Lacertidae.
UUGUCCGAAAGCAGUAGGAACACUUGUGUAGUUGCUCUUUACCUUGGCCCAAUUGUCAUAAACCCAGCUGAAGUUUUUAGCUCCACCACUGGAGCCCCAAGCUGGGAGGUAGUGCUUCUUCUUUCUCAACUUUAUCCUGAAAACGAGCCAGUUUUCAACCAAUUAUUAACUGGAUUUGGCCAGAUAAUGAUGGAAUACUGGUCCAGCAGCUAGGCUGCAAGAGUCAAUCUGUUUCUGAGGUAGGAUGGGACUACUCCGUUUGAUUAACAAAACUGUGUAUUACACUAGAUCAUAAAAAGCAGGGUAAAAUGAAAAAAAUGCUUGGGAAUUUUAGAUAGUAGAUGGAAUUCAAAUGUCUGGCAGUUUGUCAGAUUCAUUAAGAUACAUGAAAAGCCCUAAGGUGGCGGUAACUAGGUGGCAAUGACUUGGUGUGCAGUAGAGCUGUUUUCCCCUUUCUGUACACUGGAAGCCAUCAGUUUAAUGCCAUUGCUCCUCCAAUGCUAUUGCUGUCUGUAAACUUUAUUUUCAGUGCAGAAUUCCACACUUGUCAGAUUCAUGGCCUGUGUGAUAUUGGUGGUUGCAUCAAAUGGUGUCAACACUUUCUUGAAAUAGCCUGUGUUUUGCAUACUAUUUUACUGCCUCCACCAACUAUUUUGUGAAGGAGAAAGUCAUCCAUGAAGCUCUGAAUUUUGGGUGUUUAAGUUUAGGCAGUAGAUUGAACAUACUAAUUGUGCAUCUGUCUGCCUGUCUAGCUAUAGAGGUAUGUGCAUGCAGUGCUAUGUUUCUAGAAAAGAGGUGCCGGAACUCACCAUGAAUGCCUCCCUUGUUCUCUUAUAAUGGCAAUGUCGCCCAGCUGAGAGGUGACGGAACUGAGUUCCAGUGAGUUCUGGCAGAAAAAAGCCCUGUGUACGUAUAUGUAAAUGGGUGUAUAUUUCAACUAGCCUAUCCGUAGUUGAUAAAAUCAAUGUCCAUUUGCUAUUGAAUAGCAUUCUGGGUAAUUUCCCUAUUAAAAACUUUGCCUCUAUUUUAAGAGCUCAAUUCAUCAGUCUUGUUAUGUGCUGAACUUCUCACCCUGGGUCAGCAGGGGGAUACUGUAGAUAGUUUUCGCUCAGGUCCACAUAUGCAAAUAAGGGAUUGAAAGUGACGUUCAGUGAUUGGAUAGUUACAGGAAGUUGUUACAGUUGUGUUGUACUGGAGCUCUAUAUAAGCAGGCUGGCUGAACCCUUCAGUUAACUUCUGUUCUGGCCUGUGAAUAAACAAGAGCUGUUUGAAGAACUGCUGUGUCGCCUGAUAUGUUCACCCACAAUUUAACAAGUCUAAUGACACAAGUGAUCAGACUGAGAUUAUUUGAGAACCAUACCAAGCUGAUUUUGCAUCCUGUUGUGCGGUAAGCAAAGUAGCUGCACCAACACAAUGAGGAACAUCAGUAUUGCCAAGUUUGGAAUGGUCUAAUACUUUGUUAGGGUGCUCUAGCACAGAAAUGAAAUCAGAUUAUGUUUGGCAUGAUCAAGACUAGGAAUGCUAAUCUAGUUUUGAUAAUCUCUUUUCAUUAUGAAGUCCCCAUGUCAGUGCAAAUCUAUGCAGGUGACAUGUGAUGAUACUAAUCAUGUUUUGAAAUGACUGGUGGCAAAACAGGAUGGGGUCUUGACGCAAGAUGCCCCUGCAGAUAUGCCCACUUUACCAUGCCAGUUUGUACCAGGCGGCUAAGCAAUAGCAUCUCCUAAAAGUUGUUUUGCUUUGUUUUUUUAUAAAUAGAUAUAAGUAAGUGCCAAGAAGAAAUGUACAUAGAGAAUCGGGUGAACAUAAUAUCAUUAUGAAGCCUGAGUUCCAUGCAUAUUGAUUGAUUGGUUCCCGUGAGGCAUCCUAAAGCAAUUUACACAGAACAAUUGCAUAUAUAAACAGCUCAAACAUUUGCAUAAAUAAAAACAGCUAAAACAUUUGCCUAUAGACAAUUACAAACCAUUUUAUAUAUAAACAAUUUAAAACCACAACACACAUAUCAAAGGAAUUCAAAUCCAAUACAGAUACCAGCUGGGGAAAGUCUUCACUUACAAGGCUUGUUGAAAGAGGAACAUCUUGAACAGGCACCAGAAGGACAGCAGAGAAGGUGCCUGUCUGAUACAUAAUAGGAAAGAAUUUCAAAUUGUAGAUGCUUAUAUUUAAGUGCCAACUCCAACAUCAGGCCUCUUGGCAAGAUAUUUUCUGCCAGAUGCUGUCUCCUGCAGAAUGCAGCGACUACCUUCUAUGUGUCCAAGUUUCAAACUGUAUAGGGCUUUGUAUACCAGCCAAUCAGCAUCCAGUACAGAUGUACAUAACAUAUUUCUGAUCUGAAAGUUUGUUGCGUAAUGGUGCAUGCACAUACAACCCAAUCAGAUGGGCAGGGGAUAAAUAAUACAUUUAUUAUUAUUACUAGGGUUUCUUACCUAUGACCAAUUGUUUUUGAGGUAACUUUGCCAUCACAGCUUAUCUGUCACCAUAUGAACUGAUAGUUCUACAGGUUCCUUUUAGGUAUUGGCUGGAGAGUCGUGAACAGUGUAGGAAUAAUAUUCAUUGACAUGUUUGAUGCAGAGAUCUAAAUAGAGACUAUUAUUUGUGAUGCGGCAUCUGUUUUGCUUGUAUUUAUUUUUGAUUCAGCUUUCUCAUGGCCAAUGGCUAGUACAAUAAAGUUAUUUGGAUUGGAUUGGAUGUUUACAUGUAGACUUUUUUCCAUGUAAACUUUUUCAAUAUUGGUAUCAAAAUACUCUGGUUGAGGUAAAAUUAUAGCUAUUUGUGCUAUAUGCACCAUAUAUUAUAGCUUUUGCCUCCUUAAUUUUGUGGUUUCCCCCCUUGUGAUCAUUAUAGUCAUUAGUAGGGAUUACUCUUUAGAACUGCAAAGGUGAAGGCAACACAUUUUGGAAACAACAUUUUUUUAAAAAAGAAGCUUCCUUUCCCCUUUUUCUCUUUCUCAUAUGAACAAAUGCCUUAACUAAUCUAGUGUGAAACAGAUGUUUUCUCUAGCCUCAAGUGGGCUAUAGAAUGAAAGAAAAAUUAUCCCUCUUAAAAAUAAAGACAUUCAAAGUUUCAAACUGCCAUAUAACCCUACUUUUUCUUUCCAUUAUCUCUGAGUUAGAAGAACAGCGCUUUCUGCUCCAGAUAUACCUGGAUGACAGAUGGCUACUUGGAGCAAUUGUUAUCAACUGAUGUUAGUUUAAUGCUACUAGUAGUUGUCUAGGGGUUCCAAAUUUAAGAAUUAUUACGGCAUGUUUAACUUGCCAGGGCCUUAUUAGGGGAGUGAUACUUAAUGAUCCUUUGGUACUUUGAACAAAGUUGAUCUAGAAACAUUUCCAGGAGAUAGAAAAGCAGGCUCCAUAAUAAGAAUAAUUGCAGUUAUUUAUUGGCCACUGGUUGUUAUGUAGCUGCAAAAUGUUUUGUACUGCGCAUAUUCAGAUCACACAAAGCAAUGAGGUUUAGAUACAAUUAUUGAAAUGUGUAAAAUGACUUUGAUAAUGCUCUGAUUAAUCUAAAAAUAUUGUUUUGAUAUUAAACGUAGGAGAACAGGUUUUAUUCCAUCUGGUUGACUACUGAACAUUAUGCCAUUCAUUUCAUUUUUCAGUUAUAUAGUAUUACCAUUUAGUAUAGAAAAUAUAUACUACUACUAAUAGUAUACACUAAUAUACUACUAUCUUAAUGUAGCUUAUUGCUUUUAUUUUUUAUUGUGCUUUACAUGGUUGUGUCAUGCCCUAAGAUGUGAUGAGGGAUGAGAUAUAUCCGUGCCAUAGAUAGAAAUAUAAGCCAGUUAAUAUGCAAGAAUAUUGGAUAACCAGCAAACUUGUUCCAUGGUUGACAUCUGCUUCAGAUUCUGCUCUGUGAAUCUGAAAAGGUGAAGGUGACACCGUACUACCUCAUUAUAUUUUUCCAUCCUGCCGAGUGAUUUCAUACCUUGCAAUAGUUCUUCCAUUUCUAGAGACUAGCUACAGUUUUUGAAUGUGACAAACAACAUAUAUAUUUAGUUCCGGGAAACCUUACAUCAGAUUUCCCUGUUACACUUGAAUCAGCUACACAAGGAAUGCAUUCUGGUGACAUGAGUAAUGACUUUGCCUAGGCAGCCCUAUAUUUUAGAUAUAACUAAAUCUGGAUUGCAGCAGUACAAAAACCAUAAGCUAUAAACAAGAGGUCAUUAGUCCACACACACACACACACACACACACACACGGAUCAGAGAUACUUUGAAUGGGAACAUAGAUCUAGUAGGCUACGGGCAUAAAAGAAAUUACUACUUGUUUCAGAUAAGAUGCUAUUGGAAAGGAUUACCUGUACAUUUGUGUGGUUAUUCUACUGUUAAUAUAUUGUUUUUGGAGGCUUGUUUUUAAAGGAAAGAAAAUGUACUACAGACUGGGUGGUAUGCUUUCUGUGAAAUAGAAUCUGGUGCAUGGAGCAAAUCUGGUUAACUGUGUCUGUAACUUUCUAACUCUAGAAAAUUCUGUACUCUCCCCAUGUACUAAGGAGAACGGUGAGGGCAUUUAGGAAGUUCUCCUGAGAAGGUUCAGGGUCUGCAUACCUUUGGAACUGUGUUGUUCCAGAGCUCCCCUAACCCUGAACCAAAAAGCCUGUUAAAAGCAAAGAAAAGCGUUCCUUGAAGUAUUUGUGUCCAGAAAUGCUUUCUAUAUUACAAAUCAACUUACAACCCCUUCUCUCAAUAAUACAAUC